RNAcentral lists this ribosomal RNA (358 nucleotides) under Eukaryota sp. RNAcentral's name for it is "SSU rRNA". It matches the Rfam family "Eukaryotic small subunit ribosomal RNA", at positions 1324 to 1699 of the family's 1831-position model. The record is from RNAcentral.
GUCGUUAACGAACGAGACCUCGACCUGCUAAAUAGUUCGACAAAGGAUUCUUCCUUUGGACGUGACUUCUUAGAGGGACUAUCGGUGUGUAGCCGAUGGAAGUUCGAGGCAAUAACAGGUCUGUGAUGCCCUUAGAUGUUCUGGGCCGCACGCGCGCUACACUGAUACGUUCAUCGAGCUUACAACCUUGACUGAGAGGCCUGGGUAAUCUUUUUAAAGCGUAUCGUGAUGGGGAUAGAUUAUUGUAAUUUUUAGUCUUCAACGAGGAAUUCCUAGUAAACGCGAUUCAUCAAAUCGCAUUGAUUACGUCCCUGCCCUUUGUACACACCGCCCGUCGCUAUUACCGAUUGAAUGGUUA